This 143-nucleotide small nucleolar RNA is filed under the name Malurus cyaneus samueli. Lineage: Eukaryota; Metazoa; Chordata; Aves; Passeriformes; Maluridae. The record is from RNAcentral.
GCCCGGCCCUAUCGAAGCUGCGUCUGUCCGUGCUGUGGCAGAUGCAGUCAAAAAGGAGCCGAAAGUGAAGAGAUUUUCCUCGACGGUCGCCGGUCAGCUGGAGCCUUUGUAACUGUCCGGCAACAUUUCGGGAAAAUACACUG